AUGCACGCUGGCGGCGUGCCUAAUACCUGCCAGUCGCGCGAACAGACGAGGAGCUUGCUCCUCUGACGUUAGCGGCGGACGGGUGAGUAACACGUGGAUAACCUACCUAUAAGACUGGGAUAACUUCGGGAAACCGGAGCUAAUACCGGAUAAUAUAUUGAACCGCAUGGUUCAAUAGUGAAAGACGGUUUUGCUGUCACUUAUAGAUGGAUCCGCGCCGCAUUAGCUAGUUGGUAAGGUAACGGCUUACCAAGGCAACGAUGCGUAGCCGACCUGAGAGGGUGAUCGGCCACACUGGAACUGAGACACGGUCCAGACUCCUACGGGAGGCAGCAGUAGGGAAUCUUCCGCAAUGGGCGAAAGCCUGACGGAGCAACGCCGCGUGAGCGAUGAAGGUCUUCGGAUCGUAAAACUCUGUUAUUAGGGAAGAACAAAUGUGUAAGUAACUAUGCACGUCUUGACGGUACCUAAUCAGAAAGCCACGGCUAACUACGUG
RNAcentral lists this ribosomal RNA (496 nucleotides) under uncultured bacterium. RNAcentral describes it as "partial 16S ribosomal RNA". It matches the Rfam family "Bacterial small subunit ribosomal RNA", at positions 29 to 507 of the family's 1533-position model. The record is from RNAcentral.